This 72-nucleotide microRNA precursor is filed under the name Myotis lucifugus (little brown bat). RNAcentral describes it as "mir-9193 microRNA precursor family". It matches the Rfam family "mir-9193 microRNA precursor family". Lineage: Eukaryota; Metazoa; Chordata; Mammalia; Chiroptera; Vespertilionidae. The record is from Rfam by way of RNAcentral.
CUCAGGGGUGGGGUCCCUCAGCCUGGAUUGCGAGAGGGGGCAGGCCAGGCCGAGGGACCCCACUGGUGCACG